This is a long non-coding RNA of Aethina tumida (small hive beetle), 891 nucleotides long. RefSeq lists it as uncharacterized. The record is from RefSeq and is a predicted model, not a curated record. NCBI's taxonomy places the organism in Eukaryota, Metazoa, Arthropoda, Insecta, Coleoptera, Nitidulidae. The transcript is spliced from 3 exons.
UUUACAGUCAAUAAAGAGACUUAGAAUCUGUGUGUCUUUCUAUUUAGUUAAGAAAUUUCAGUAGAGUAUAUGUAGGUACCAUCAGGACAUUUAAACUAUGACCACUGAGGUAAUCAGCAACUUAUAUCUCAAAAACUUUAAAGUCUGAUUUAUAUAGGUACCAUCAGGACAUUAAAACUGUGGCUGAUGAGGUAACCAGCAACUUACACCUCAAAAACUAGAUCUGAUAGACAAAAUCUAAUGACUGUUUUGGUUUCUGCUUUCCAGACCAAUUGAACAAUCGUUGGCAUAAAAUAGCUGUGUCUGGCUCAAAUAAAACUGAUGUUUCAAAGGAAUCUGCUUUAUCUAGGUACCAUCAGGACAUUAAAACUAUGGCUGAUGAGACCAAUUGAACAAUCGUUGGCAUAAAAUGGCUGUGUCUGGCUCAAAUAAAACUGAUGUUUCAAAGGAGUCCGCUUUAUCUAGGUACCAUCAGGACAUUAAAACUAUGGCUGAUGAGGUAACCAGCAAUUCAUAUCUUAAAAACUAGAUCUGAUAGACAAAAUAUAAUGACUGUUUUGAUUUCUGCUUUCCAGAACAGUUGAAAUAUCGUUGGCAUAAAGAAGCUGUGUCUGACUCAAAUAAAACUGAUGUUUCAAAGGAGUCUGCUUUAUCUAGGUACCAUCAGGACAUUAAAACUAUGGCUGAUGAGACCAAUUGAACAAUCGUUGGCAUAAAAUAGCUGUGUCUGGCUCAAAUAAAACUGAUGUUUCAAAGGAGUCUGCUUUAUCUAGAUACCAUCAGGACAUUAAAACUAUGGCUGAUGAGAUAACCAGCAAUUCAUAUCUUAAAAACUAGAUCUGAUAGACAAAAUAUAAUGACUGUUUUGGUUUCUGCUUUCCAGAACAAUUG